AACGAACGCUGGCGGCAUGCCUAACACAUGCAAGUCGAACGAGACCUUCGGGUCUAGUGGCGCACGGGUGCGUAACGCGUGGGAAUCUGCCCUGGGGUGCGGAAUAACUCGGAGAAAUCCGUGCUAAUACCGCAUAAUGUCUUCGGACCAAAGAUUUUAUCGGUAUGGGAUGGGCCUGCGUCUGAUUAGCUGGUUGGUGGGGUAACGGCUCACCAAGGCGACGAUCAGUAGCCGACCUGAGAGGGUAAUCGGCCACAUUGGAACUGAGACACGGUCCAAACUCCUACGGGAGGCAGCAGUGGGGAAUAUUGCACAAUGGGCGAAAGCCUGAUGCAGCAACGCCGCGUGAGCGAGGAAGGCCUUUGGGUCGUAAAGCUCUGUCGAGGAGGAAGAUAAUGACGGUACUCCUCGAGGAAGCCCCGGCUAACUACGUG
RNAcentral lists this ribosomal RNA (434 nucleotides) under uncultured bacterium. Its description in RNAcentral is "bacterial SSU rRNA". It matches the Rfam family "Bacterial small subunit ribosomal RNA", at positions 29 to 507 of the family's 1533-position model. The record is from RNAcentral.